RNAcentral lists this ribosomal RNA (253 nucleotides) under uncultured bacterium. RNAcentral's name for it is "partial 16S ribosomal RNA". It matches the Rfam family "Bacterial small subunit ribosomal RNA", at positions 524 to 776 of the family's 1533-position model. The record is from RNAcentral.
UACAGAGGGGGCAAGCGUUAUUCGGAAUUAUUGGGCGUAAAGGGCGCGUAGGCGGCUUGGCAAGUGGAUGGUGAAAUCCCUCGGCUUAACCGAGGAACUGCCGUCCAAACUGCUUCGCUUGAGACCGGGAGAGGUGAGUGGAAUUCCCAGUGUAGCGGUGAAAUGCGUAGAUAUUGGGAGGAACACCAGUGGCGAAGGCGGCUCACUGGACCGGUACUGACGCUGAGGAGCGAAAGCGUGGGGAGCAAACAGG